UACGUAGGGGGCAAGCGUUGUCCGGAUUUAUUGGGCGUAAAGAGCGUGUAGGCGGUUUGGUAGGUUCGCUGUGAAAACUCGAGGCUCAACCUCGAGACGCCGGUGGAAACCAUCAGACUAGAGUCCGGAAGAGGAGAGUGGAAUUCCUGGUGUAGCGGUGAAAUGCGCAGAUAUCAGGAAGAACACCCGUGGCUAAGGCGGCUCUCUAGUACGGUACUGACGCUGAGACGCGAAAGCGUGGGGAGCGAACAGG
Molecule: ribosomal RNA, 253 nt
Filed under: uncultured bacterium
Lineage: Bacteria
Description: partial 16S ribosomal RNA
Rfam family: Bacterial small subunit ribosomal RNA
Source: RNAcentral